Molecule: ribosomal RNA, 492 nt
Filed under: uncultured bacterium
Lineage: Bacteria
Description: partial 16S ribosomal RNA
Rfam family: Bacterial small subunit ribosomal RNA
Source: RNAcentral
AGUGAACGCUGGCGGUAGGCCUAACACAUGCAAGUCGAACGGCAGCACAGUAAGAGCUUGCUCUUACGGGUGGCGAGUGGCGGACGGGUGAGGAAUACAUCGGACUCUACUUUUUCGUGGGGGAUAACGUAGGGAAACUUACGCUAAUACCGCAUACGACCUACGGUUGAAAGCAGGUGAUCUUCGGACCUUGCGCGAUUGAAUGAGCCGAUGUCGGAUUAGCUAGUUGGCGGGGUAAAGGCCCACCAAGGCGACGAUCCGUAGCUGGUCUGAGAGGAUGAUCAGCCACACUGGAACUGAGACACGGUCCAGACUCCUACGGGAGGCAGCAGUGGGGAAUAUUGGACAAUGGGCGCAAGCCUGAUCCAGACAUACCGCGUGGGUGAAGAAGGCCUUCGGGUUGUAAAGCCCUUUUGUUGGGAAAGAAAAGCAGCAGGUUAAUACCCCGCUGUUCUGACGGUACCCAAAGAAUAAGCACCGGCUAACUUCGUG